RNAcentral lists this ribosomal RNA (467 nucleotides) under Bacillus licheniformis. Its description in RNAcentral is "bacterial SSU rRNA". It matches the Rfam family "Bacterial small subunit ribosomal RNA", at positions 73 to 524 of the family's 1533-position model. The record is from RNAcentral. Lineage: Bacteria; Bacillati; Bacillota; Bacilli; Caryophanales; Bacillaceae.
ACGGCACUUGCUCCUUAGGUCAGCGGCGGACGGGUGAGUAACACGUGGGUAACCUGCCUGUAAGACUGGGAUAACUCCGGGAAACCGGGGCUAAUACCGGAUGCUUGAUUGAACCGCAUGGUUCAAUCAUAAAAGGUGGCUUUUAGCUACCACUUACAGAUGGACCCGCGGCGCAUUAACUAGUUGGUGAGGUAACGGCUCACCAAGGGGACCAUGCGUAGCCGACCUGAGAGGGUGAUCGGCCACACUGGGACUGAAACACGGCCCAAACUCCUACGGGAGGCAGCAGUAGGGAAUCUUCCGCAAUGGACGAAAGUCUGACGGAACAACCCCCCGUGAGUGAUGAAGGUUUUCGGAUCGUAAAACUCUGUUGUUAGGGAAGAACAAGUACCGUUCGAAUAGGGCGGUACCUUGACGGUACCUAACCAGAAAGCCACGGCUAACUACCUGCCAGCAGCCGCGGUAAU